This 1101-nucleotide ribosomal RNA is filed under the name Corynebacterium sp. HMSC14B06. RNAcentral describes it as "bacterial SSU rRNA". It matches the Rfam family "Bacterial small subunit ribosomal RNA", at positions 1 to 1109 of the family's 1533-position model. Lineage: Bacteria; Bacillati; Actinomycetota; Actinomycetes; Mycobacteriales; Corynebacteriaceae. The record is from RNAcentral.
GGGUUUUUGAUGGAGGGUUUGAUCCUGGCUCAGGACGAACGCUGGCGGCGUGCUUAACACAUGCAAGUCGAACGGUAAGGCUCCAGCUUGCUGGGGUACACGAGUGGCGAACGGGUGAGUAACACGUGGGUGACCUGCCCUGCACUUCGGGAUAAGCCUGGGAAACUGGGUCUAAUACCGGAUAGGACCGCACCGUGAGGGUGUGGUGGAAAGUUUUUUCGGUGUGGGAUGGGCCCGCGGCCUAUCAGCUUGUUGGUGGGGUAAUGGCCUACCAAGGCGGCGACGGGUAGCCGGCCUGAGAGGGUGGACGGCCACAUUGGGACUGAGACACGGCCCAGACUCCUACGGGAGGCAGCAGUGGGGAAUAUUGCACAAUGGGCGGAAGCCUGAUGCAGCGACGCCGCGUGGGGGAUGACGGCCUUCGGGUUGUAAACUCCUUUCACCAUCGACGAAGGGUUUCUGACGGUAGAUGGAGAAGAAGCACCGGCUAACUACGUGCCAGCAGCCGCGGUAAUACGUAGGGUGCGAGCGUUGUCCGGAAUUACUGGGCGUAAAGAGCUCGUAGGUGGUUUGUCGCGUCGUCUGUGAAAUUCCGGGGCUUAACUCCGGGCGUGCAGGCGAUACGGGCAUAACUUGAGUACUGUAGGGGAGACUGGAAUUCCUGGUGUAGCGGUGAAAUGCGCAGAUAUCAGGAGGAACACCGGUGGCGAAGGCGGGUCUCUGGGCAGUAACUGACGCUGAGGAGCGAAAGCAUGGGGAGCGAACAGGAUUAGAUACCCUGGUAGUCCAUGCCGUAAACGGUGGGCGCUAGGUGUGGGUUUCCUUCCACGGGAUCCGUGCCGUAGCUAACGCAUUAAGCGCCCCGCCUGGGGAGUACGGCCGCAAGGCUAAAACUCAAAGGAAUUGACGGGGGCCCGCACAAGCGGCGGAGCAUGUGGAUUAAUUCGAUGCAACGCGAAGAACCUUACCUGGGCUUGACAUAUACAGGAUCGCGCCAGAGAUGGUGUUUCCCUUGUGGCUUGUAUACAGGUGGUGCAUGGUUGUCGUCAGCUCGUGUCGUGAGAUGUUGGGUUAAGUCCCGCAACGAGCGCAACCCUUGUC